RNAcentral lists this ribosomal RNA (755 nucleotides) under uncultured cyanobacterium. RNAcentral describes it as "bacterial SSU rRNA". It matches the Rfam family "Bacterial small subunit ribosomal RNA", at positions 28 to 829 of the family's 1533-position model. The record is from RNAcentral. Lineage: Bacteria; Bacillati; Cyanobacteriota.
GAUGAACGCUGGCGGUCUGCUUAACACAUGCAAGUCGAACGGGCUCUUCGGAGCUAGUGGCGGACGGGUGAGUAACGCGUGAGGAUCUGCCCUUAGGACGGGGACAACAGCUGGAAACGGCUGCUAAUACCCGAUGUGCCGAGAGGUGAAACUAUUUGGCCUGAGGAUGAGCUCGCGUCUGAUUAGCUAGUUGGAGUGGUAACGGCACACCAAGGCGACGAUCAGUAGCUGGUCUGAGAGGAUGAUCAGCCACACUGGGACUGAGACACGGCCCAGACUCCUACGGGAGGCAGCAGUGGGGAAUUUUCCGCAAUGGGCGAAAGCCUGACGGAGCAAGACCGCGUGCGGGAGGAAGGUCUAUUGAUUGUAAACCGCUUUUGAUAGGGAAGAAGAUCUGACGGUACCUAUCGAAUCAGCAUCGGCUAACUCCGUGCCAGCAGCCGCGGUAAUACGGGGGAUGCAAGCGUUAUCCGGAAUUAUUGGGCGUAAAGCGUCCGUAGGUGGUUUUAAAAGUCUGUUGUCAAAUCGCGAGGCUUAACCUCGUACAGGCAGUGGAAACUAUAAGACUAGAGUGCGGUAGGGGUAGAGGGAAUUUCCAGUGUAGCGGUGAAAUGCGUAGAUAUUGGAAAGAACACCGGUGGCGAAGGCGCUCUACUGGGCCUGCACUGACACUGAGGGACGAAAGCUAGGGGAGCGAAUGGGAUUAGAUACCCCAGUAGUCCUAGCCGUAAACGAUGGAUACUAGGUGUUGUCUG